UCUUCCCUAUGAAGACUGGUAUACCUCAAAGUUCUUCUAGUGUUGAUCCUACUCACACAUCUAGUUCUAUUCCCGAUCAUGUGGAAAAGAUGACAAAUGUGGGGGCAGAUCCUACUAGUAGCUCUACUCCUAAUGAAGUUGAGGAACCUAGAAGGAGCAAGCGUGCAAAGGUAGUUAAGGACUUUGGAAGUGAUUUUAUCACUUACAAUGUCGAGGACGAACCUUUGACUUUCCGACAAGCCAUGGAUUCUUCGGAAUCUAGGCACUGGAAAGGCGCUGUGAAGAGUGAAAUUGACUCUAUUGUUUCUAACGGAACAUGGGAGUUGGUUGACCUCCCUCCUGGGUGUUCUACUAUAGGAUGUAGGUGGAUCUUCAAAAGGAAGAUGAAACCAGAUGGCUCAAUAGAUAAGUAUAAAGCUAGAUUGGUUGCUAAAGGUUUUAGGCAAAGAGAAGGUAUUGACUACUUUGAUACAUACUCUCCUGUUGCAAGAUUGACAACGAUCCGAAUGCUUGUAGCAUUGGCUUCCGUACAUGGUCUUAUCAUCCAUCAAAUGGAUGUAAAGACAGCUUUUCUUCAUGGUGAUCUUGAAGAAGAGAUUUAUAUGGAUCAGCCUGAGGGAUUUGUUGCAUCUGGCAAUGAGAGCAAAGUAUGUAAGUUAGUCAAAUCCAUCUACGGCUUGAAACAAGCACCUAGAGACUGGCACAAAAAGUUUGAUGACACUGUUUUGACUUUUGAUUUUAUAGUUAAUGAUAAUGACAAGUGUGUCUACUAUAAGGUUAAAGGAAAUGAACAUAUUGUGUUGUGCUUGUAUGUGGAUGAUAUACUACUGUUUGGAACCAAUAUUGAGAUUAUUAACGAGACAAAGAAUUUCUUGAAAAAACACUUUGAAAUGAAGGACAUGGGUGAGGCGAAUGUGAUUCUUGGACUCAAGUUGACUCAGUCAACUGAGGGAAUAACCUUGUCACAAUCUCAUUAUAUAGAGAAAUCUAUACUUGAGAAGUAUGGUUAUUCAAAUUGUAGAAUUGCUAGUACACCAUAUGAUCCUAAAGUUGCUCUUAUCAAGAAUGCUUCAGGUGUACCUGUGUCUCAGUUAAGAUAUUCUCAGAUUAUUGGUAGUUUGCAAUAUCUUGCUAAUGGUACUAGACCAGAUAUAACAUAUUCUGUGUCUAAGUUAGCAAGAUAUACAAGCUGUCCAAACAGAACUCAUUGGGAUGCUCUAGAUAGAGUACUUAGAUAUCUGAAAGGCACCAUAUAUCUUGGGUUGCACUACAGGAGAUAUCCGAGUGUGCUUGAGGGAUAUAGUGAUGCAAGUUGGAUAGCUAAGAAGUCUGGUUCCAAUGGAGUGACUGGAUAUCUGUUUACCCUUGCGGGUGGAGCAGUAUCCUGGAAGUCGACUAGACAGACUAUAGUAACUCGGUCUACGUUUGAGGCCGAGUUGUGUGCAUUGGAUGCCACGGGUACGGAGGCUGAAUGGUUACAUGGACUCAUGUCUGUGUUACCUGUAGUAAGUCGUCCGCUACCGGCAAUUUCUGUUCAUUGUGAUAGCCGUACAACUAUCGACAAGAUCAGAAGUGUCAAGUAUAAUGCUAAAACAAAGAGACACAUCCAAGUUAGACUUAAGUCUAUAAGGGGUUUGGUGUCUGAUCGGACUAUUGCUAUUGAGUUCAUUGGAACUCAAGAUAACAUAGCUGAUCCACUGACUAAAGGGCUUGAGCAUGCUGUUGUCCUUAAGUCAAGGUUGGGGAUGGGACUGAUAACCCAUCAUGAUUCAUCUACAGCGGGAACCCAAUACAUCUGAGAGGAGAUCCCUCAAAGUGUAUUCAAUGUGGUAAACAAGCUGUAAGGGUGGAUCGGUAGUACCUUUAACUACAAUGUAGAUACUUAUGCAUCUGAGUCUAUCCCCUGCAAACCUAAAAGGUACUGACACUGCAAGUAUAGCAAGAGUUUUUAGAACUCUGAAUGGGGUCAAGUCAUUUGACGAGAUGGUUGCAGUACAUCUCUGGAGAUGCCCAGCUAAGCGAAUGUAAUUGUGAGGUCGCAAUUAGAGGAAAGGGUUAUUCCUUGAAACAUUCGACGAACAGGAUCGAGACACGACCAUUAAUGUCUCAAAGCCGUAGAUCGGCACCAUAGCCUUUGACUUGUCGUCGUCUAUGGAGUGUGGUUACACCCAACGGAUAGAGAUUCAAGGUGAAACAAUCCAUCUAUAUCCGGUAGCCAUCGAAGUAGGGGACUUAGGAGGGUUCAAACCCGGAAGGGUACCUACUCUGAAAAACAAGUCAUGAUGAGGACUAAUAUGCAUAUCUAUAUGGAUUUGUGGGGGAUUGUUAGAAAAUGGAAAGUUUAAAGCAUAUUUUUUUAAUAUGUUCUUGAUGUAAUUUCUAGGACAUUUUCUUAGUGAAAUCCAUUGAGAAAUAGAGUUGAAUACAGUGCUUGAAAGAGAUGAUCCUACUCACACAUCUAGUUCUAUUCCCGAUUAUGUGGAAAAGAUGACAAAUGUGGGGGCAAAUCAUGCUAGUAGCUCUACUCCUAAUGAAGUUGAGGAACCUGCCAUAUUCUGAAUAGAGUCCCUCUGAAACAUAUGGACAAGACACCUUACGAAUUAUGGAAAGGCAGGAAAACUAGUCUAAAGUAUCUUCGUGUGUGGGGGUGCCUUGCUAAGGUACUUGUCCCUGAACAGAAGAGAAAGAAACUAGGGCCGAAAACUGUUGAUUGUAUCUUUCUGGGCUAUCUCGAAACCACUACAGCUAUGAGAUUUUUAGUAUUAAAAUCUGACAUAGAUGGUAUAGUGGCAAACACGAUAGUUGAGUUUCGUGAUGCAACAUUCUUUGAGGAUGUCUUCCCUAUGAAGACUGGUAUACCUCAAAGUUCUUCUAGUGUUGAUCCUACUCACACAUCUAGUUCUAUUCCCGAUCAUGUGGAAAAGAUGACAAAUGUGGGGGCAGAUCCUACUAGUAGCUCUACUCCUAAUGAAGUUGAGGAACCUAGAAGGAGCAAGCGUGCAAAGGUAGUUAAGGACUUUGGAAGUGAUUUUAUCACUUACAAUGUCGAAGACGAACCUUUGACUUUCCGACAAGCCAUGGAUUCUUCGGAAUCUAGGCACUGGAAAGGCGCUGUGAAGAGUGAAAUUGACUCUAUUGUUUCUAACGGAACAUGGGAGUUGGUUGACCUCCCUCCUGGGUGUUCUACUAUAGGAUGUAAGUGGAUCUUCAAAAAGAAGAUGAAACCAGAUGGCUCAAUAGAUAAGUAUAAAGCUAGAUUGGUGGCAAAGGAUUUUAGGCAAAGAGAAGGUAUUGACUA
Molecule: long non-coding RNA, 3298 nt
Filed under: Daucus carota (carrot)
Lineage: Eukaryota; Viridiplantae; Streptophyta; Magnoliopsida; Apiales; Apiaceae
Description: long non-coding RNA (DCAR_LNC000120)
Source: RNAcentral